Molecule: ribosomal RNA, 1472 nt
Filed under: uncultured Bordetella sp.
Lineage: Bacteria; Pseudomonadati; Pseudomonadota; Betaproteobacteria; Burkholderiales; Alcaligenaceae
Description: partial 16S-23S ribosomal RNA intergenic spacer
Rfam family: Bacterial small subunit ribosomal RNA
Source: RNAcentral
GGUUUGAUUAUGGCUCAGAUUGAACGCUGGCGGGAUGCUUUACAUGCAAGUCGAACGGCAGCACGGACUUCGGUCUGGUGGCGAGUGGCGAACGGGUGAGUAAUGUAUCGGAACGUGCCUAGUAGCGGGGGAUAACUACGCGAAAGCGUAGCUAAUACCGCAUACGCCCUUCGGGGAAAGCGGGGGGACCUUCCGGGCCUCGCACUAUUAAACGGCCGAUAUCGGAUUAGCUAGUUGGUGGGGUAACGGCUCGCAAGGCGACGAUCCGUAGCUGGUUUGAGAGGACGACCAGCCACACUGGGACUGAGACACGGCCCAGACUCCUACGGGAAGGCAGUGGGGGUACGGACAAUGGGGGAAACCCUGAUCCAGCCAUCCCGCGUGUGCGAUGAAGGCCUUCGGGUUGUAAAGCACUUUUGGCAGGAAAGAAACGGCACGGGAUAAUACCCCGUGCAACUGACGGUACCUGCAGAAUAAGCACCGGCUAACUACGUGCCAGCAGCCGCGGUAAUACGUAAGUGCAAGCGUUAAUCGGAAUUACUGGGCGUAAAGCGUGCGCAGGCGGUUCGGAAAGAAGAUGUGAAAUCCCAGAGCUUAACUUUGGAACUGCAUUUUUAACUACCGAGCUAGAGUGUGUCAGAGGGAGGUGGAAUUCCGCGUGUAGCAGUGAAAUGCGUAGAUAUGCGGAGGAACACCGAUGGCGAAGGCAGCCUCCUGGGAUAACACUGACGCUCAUGCACGCAGCGUGGGAGCAAACGGGUUAGAUACCUGGUAGUCCACGCCUAAACGAUGUCAACUAGCUGUUGGGGCCUUCGGGCCUUGGUAGCGCAGCUAACGCGUGAAGUUGACCGCCUGGGGAGUACGGUCGCAAGAUUAAAACUCAAAGGAAUUGACGGGGACCCGCACAAGCGGUGGAUGAUGUGGAUUAAUUCGAUGCAACGCGAAAAGCCUUACCUACCCUUGACAUGUCUGGAAUCCCGAAGAGAUUUGGGAGUGCUCGCAAAGGAGCCGGAACACAGGUGCUGCAUGGCUGUCGUCGAACUGGUGUCGUGAGAUGUUGGGUUAAGUCCCGCAACGAGCGCAACCCUUGUCAUUAGUUGCUACGAAGGGCACUCUAAUGAGACUGCCGGUGACAAACCGGAGGAAGGUGGGGAUGACGUCAAGUCCUCAUGGCCCUUAUGGGUAGGGCUUCACACGUCAUACAAUGGUCGGGACGAGGUCGCCAACCCGCGAGGGGGAGCCAAUCCCAGAAACCCGAUCGUAGUCCGGAUCGCAGUCUGCAACUCGACUGCGUGAAGUCAGAAUCGCUAGUAAUCGCGGAUCAGCAUGUCGCGGUGAAUACGUUCCCGGGUCUUGUACACACCGCCCGUCACACCAUGGGAGUGGGUUUUACCAGAAGUAGUUAGCCUAACCGUAAGGAGGGCGAUUACCACGGUAGGAUUCAUGACUGGGGUGAAGUCGUAACAAGGUAG